Molecule: long non-coding RNA, 834 nt
Organism: Rosa rugosa (rugosa rose)
Lineage: Eukaryota; Viridiplantae; Streptophyta; Magnoliopsida; Rosales; Rosaceae
Exons: 5
Source: RefSeq, a predicted model, not a curated record
UUUUGGGGGGCCCUAAAAGUUGGCUUUUUGUUCGGAUCAAAAUUUGAGAAAAUGUUCUUCAUGAAAGUCGUAGAGGACGUUAAAUCGAGUUCGUGGACACGUAGUUUGUUUAAAUCCAAAUUUUGACGGGAAAGUUAUGACUUAAAAAUAAGAGUUACCAUAUUUAGUUUGGGUUUUAUUUAAGUGAUUUCCAUUUUGGGAAGAGAGAGAAAAGUGACAGAUCAAGGAAAAAUCGGGACAAGCCCGAGCUCUCCCUCCCCCUUUCUUUUUCUUUCGCCGCCGGCCUUCUCCCACAAAAUUCAUCGCCGUCCGGCCACCACAGGACGAAUCGUUUGGCAUGGCGUGAUCCUCUCCUCCUUCUCUACCUAGUCAUCUUGUUUUGAUUGGUGGAGGAAGAUUUGAAGCUGUUUGAGACUGUGAACACUCAUUUUGACCCAAGGAAGAAGAAUUGAAGGUGAGGGUGAUGAUGAACAGUAACUGGCUGGAUUUCAUGUAUUUGGGUUGAAAUCCCGGCCACUUCCACUCGCUUUUGGUUGUUGUUGCAGGACGUACUGAACCCUCGAGUGAAAAGGAGCCGAGCAGGCAGCAGGAUUAGCUACGAGAUUCACCUGUUGCAGGCCAGUUUAGCUUGAGGUCGAGCGUACAUGGGGUUGAGGCAUAGCUGUCAUAGCUUCCGCAUUAUAAAAGUAUCGGCCCUUUAUCUUGUAUUCUACCUUCUUGUACGCCUGUACAAUAGAUUGCUCUGAUAACUCUUGAGAUUAAUAUUCUUAAGUUCAGAAUUGUUUGUGAAAUUGGGAAGUGUUGUGAUUUAAGGAGCAUGGUGGCUCCAGAAGA